UGAGCACUGGGUUAAAUGGGUGACGGGCAUUAAGGAGGGCACCUUUCAGGAUGGGCACUGGGCGUCAUGUGUAAGAGAUGAAUCGCUGAGUUCUACUCCUGAAGCCAAGACUACACUGUAUGUUAACUAACUUGAAAAUAAAUUUUUUAAAGAA
Long non-coding RNA from Herpailurus yagouaroundi (jaguarundi), 154 nucleotides. RefSeq lists it as uncharacterized. The record is from RefSeq and is a predicted model, not a curated record. The transcript is spliced from 3 exons. NCBI's taxonomy places the organism in Eukaryota, Metazoa, Chordata, Mammalia, Carnivora, Felidae.